GUAGGUGGCAAGCGUUGUCCGGAAUUAUUGGGCGUAAAGCGCGCGCAGGCGGUCCUUUAAGUCUGAUGUGAAGGCCCACGGCUCAACCGUGGAGGGUCAUUGGAAACUGGGGGACUUGAGUACAGAAGAGGAAAGCGGAAUUCCAAGUGUAGCGGUGAAAUGCGUAGAGAUUUGGAGGAACACCAGUGGCGAAGGCGGCUUUCUGGUCUGUAACUGACGCUGAGGCGCGAAAGCGUGGGGAGCAAACAGGAUUAGAUACCCUGGUAGUCCACGCCGUAAACGAUGGGUGCUAAGUGUUAGGGGGUUUCCCGCCCCCCUUAGUGCUGCAGCUAACGCAUUAAGCACUCCGCCUGGGGGAGUACGGCCGCAAGGCUG
This 375-nucleotide ribosomal RNA is filed under the name uncultured organism. RNAcentral's name for it is "partial 16S ribosomal RNA". It matches the Rfam family "Bacterial small subunit ribosomal RNA", at positions 527 to 896 of the family's 1533-position model. The record is from RNAcentral.